Molecule: ribosomal RNA, 253 nt
Filed under: uncultured bacterium
Lineage: Bacteria
Description: partial 16S ribosomal RNA
Rfam family: Bacterial small subunit ribosomal RNA
Source: RNAcentral
UACAGAGACUGCAAGCGUUAUUCGGAUUCACUGGGCGUAAAGGGUGCGCAGGCGGCCGAGUGUGUGAGGCGUGAAAGCCCGGGGCUUAACCCCGGAAUUGCACCUCAAACUACACGGCUAGAGCAUUGGAGAGGGUAGCAGAAUUCAUGGUGUAGCAGUGAAAUGCGUAGAUAUCAUGAGGAAUACCAGAGGCGAAGGCGGCUUUCUGGGCCUUACCUGACGCUGAGACGCGAAAGCGUGGGGAGCGAACCGG